GACGAACGCUGGCGGCGUGCCUAAUACAUGCAAGUAGAACGCUGAAGAGAGGAGCUUGCUCUUCUUGGAUGAGUUGCGAACGGGUGAGUAACGCGUAGGUAACCUGCCUUGUAGCGGGGGAUAACUAUUGGAAACGAUAGCUAAUACCGCAUAACAAUGGAUGACACAUGUCAUUUAUUUGAAAGGGGCAAUUGCUCCACUACAAGAUGGACCUGCGUUGUAUUAGCUAGUAGGUGAGGUAAUGGCUCACCUAGGCGACGAUACAUAGCCGACCUGAGAGGGUGAUCGGCCACACUGGGACUGAGACACGGCCCAGACUCCUACGGGAGGCAGCAGUAGGGAAUCUUCGGCAAUGGGGGCAACCCUGGCCGAGCAACGCCGCGUGAGUGAAGAAGGUUUUCGGAUCGUAAAGCUCUGUUGUAAGUCAAGAACGGGUGUGAGAGUGGAAAGUUCACACUGUGACGGUAGCUUACCAGAAAGGGACGGCUAACUACGUG
This 497-nucleotide ribosomal RNA is filed under the name uncultured bacterium. RNAcentral's name for it is "partial 16S ribosomal RNA". It matches the Rfam family "Bacterial small subunit ribosomal RNA", at positions 28 to 507 of the family's 1533-position model. The record is from RNAcentral.